AUCAAGUAAUUAUUGUUUUUGAUGGAUCAAAUAAUAAAUUUUAUUUAAUAAAUUAUAUAGAUAGAUGGUAAGAAAAUCCGAUAUGAUAAGAAAACGUGUCACAGUUCUAUUACGUGGCAACUGAAGGAGCUUUACAAGCGAAACAAAGUAGACAAAAAGCCAAAGGGAAGGGAGAUGAUGACACCGUAACGCUCAGCUCAAAGAAGGACCGAUCAUGGAGGAAGGGAUGAGAUUUCAUCUUUCUACCAUGUUCUGUUCCGGAAUCAAGGUAAAUAAAAAAAAACACUUGUUUACUAGUAGUAGUAUGUAUUCUGGGUGUGUUUGAUAAAAUAAUUGUGAAUGAAGAAGUUGUAUGAAGACAAUAAAAGGGUUAAUCUGUCAGAACACCGUACGACCACCCCGAUAGUGAUGUCACUGCCGAGAACGAUCAUCUACAGCCUAAGGAUGAUAGCUCAAACUGAGUAUCAUCAAGGCCAUUAAUCACGCUCUGAUCGCACGGUAAUAGUUCAUCCGCCAGAUUUAUGUUCCUGUCUCCUUUGAAAUCAAGGACACAGUAGUACGAGCCUAUAGAACAGAUCCUGUUCAAGUAAGGUCGUGACCAUUGCUCUACGCGUGGCUUAUAUAAACUAACUAUUUUCUCCGAACCUUAACGGUGUGGGACUAUAUUCUUCAUUUAUUUUUUUCAGAUUUGGAUUCAAGCUUUAUAACAAACUAUGGUUUACUUACCGCAACUUCCUUUUAUGCGUUGUGCAUCUAAUACCACCACCGAUUUGUUGAUCAAAAGUUGAUAAUCCUUUCUGAAUUGCUCGCUUUAGACUAUCCUUGUCAUGUUAGCAGCCAUUGCUUUUAGUACUCUCUUAUAUCUGUUAUAAAAGAAUGUUGCUUUUGUCCAUGAGCUAUUUGCCUAUUAUCUACCAAGGCAGUGUAGAGGGUAUAUAGCGGACAAAGGGAUGGCUAAGAGGACACGUUGACAUACACCGUGGAAUUCGGUUAGUCUCUGAAAGGCAUCCGUAUGUCUGAAUGAGACUUAUACACAAGUUUCACAUUCCUGAACAAUAGUUAUAACUUGUGUUUCUUCUGGUUGUUAGUUUCUAAUUCUAUUACAUUUUGUCAGGAAUAGUAGUUAGGUAGCAUCACAACUAUCACUUUAUUAUGGGAUUAAGGGAUAUAGAAAAAGUUAAAUUUAUAGAUAUUGCUUGUUUUUUCAAAGGGAGCCUCAAAGAUCAUGUAAUAGAGUUACAAAAAUAUUGAAAAUUGCGAUCUUAAUCCAUUAAUCGGCAUAGAUGGUCUUAUUGAAAAAUCAUUAUUAACUUAUGAUGGGUGGGCGUGGCAUUAGGGGAUGCAAGAUUCUUGCUUCAAGAAAUAUUGUUAUCCACCAAUAUCGUAAUGACGCCAGCAAGUGGAGUAGGUUGAGGUCUUUCAAAGAAAUUGAUCAAGUACUGAGAAAUGAUAAAGCAACUGAUUCCACUCAAGCUUUGGCUCUAAAUCUAUCUGAAUCCCGUUUGAAGCAAGUUGUAACCCUGAAGUUUUUGCAAAGAUGUGCAAUCUUGUUGAAUGGAGGGAAUAUCCUCUCGAGUCAAGAACUAAAGAGGAUAUUCAUGGUACAUGUAGCUCAAAAAUUUGCCCAAGAAUUCAACCAAACAACUGUCUGUCUCAGUGCGGGGUCAACCUUUCCAACAUGAACAAUCAUUACGUGACAACUUUGGUUGUGGCAGCGCAAUAAUUCAGGUCAACUUCAGUUUCACAGGGGAUGCUUUUGUGGGGACUAAUCUGGAGUGGAAAGGAAUGGCUUUGUAUUUGGUUAAGAUUUAUUCUUCUUGUCAUUUACUUUAUAAAAGAAAGCUUUGGAAGGAUUUGAAAGCUUGUGGGGACUAAUCUAUAUUUAAGUGGUUAAAUGCGGGAGACUCUAAUUCAAAGUUUAUUCACGCAACCAUGUAGAAGAGAUAUAGAAGAAAUAGUAUUUUAGCUCUUAAGUCAGAGAGGGGUUUGCUUGAGCAGGUUGAGGAUGUCAAGUUGGAAGUUCUGAGUCAUUUAGAAAGUAGAUUCUAAGAACCCAAGGCUCUCAGACCAAAUUUGGAGGGGGUAGACUUUAAGCACCUUUCAGUUGUUGAUUGCCUUAGUCUAAAGGAACCAUUCUCUGAAGAAGAAAUUAAGGAGGAAGCGCGAUUGUGCGAUGGCGAGAAGUGUCAAGGGCCGGACAAUUUUAACUUGUGUUUCUUAAAAAGGUUUUAAGACAUUAUCAAAAGUGAUGAUCUCUCUGCUUGUGUUAAAGAAUUCUAUGUGUGUGCUUCAUUGCCCAAGGCCUGCACGGCUGCACUGUGACUUUUCUGGCUUUAAUUCCAAAAGUCCAGGUUUAUCUGUGUGUGUGAAGGUAAUUCAAAGGUGGCGGAUUGUGGCAAGUGGUAGGAGGGAUCUUGGACCUGGGAAUUGGGUGUGAAUGUCAACUUGUUUCCUGCUUUUGUAGGCUGUGAUUUCGAUUUGUUGUUGUGAUUGUUGUAGGGCUUUCAACCGGUUCGGAAGUUGCACGAUACCUUUGUUUGGUGGCCUAAUCCUGAUGGCUUUUCUGCUAGAUCCUGCUAUAGCAGGCUGGAGUCUUUAUGCAAUUCGGAUUGGCUUGUAGAGGAAAGGCUUCAAAGAGAAUUGGAUCUUAUUUAGAAGUAUUUUAUUCUGAGUAAGGUGCAAGUCUUUGGUGGGAGAUUAUUUUGCAACAUAUAAUUCUAACUAGAGGCAAAUUGACUCAUAGAGGAAUCCUGAGUGGUGCCCACAAUUUCAUGUGUCAUGUUUGCCUAGGCCCAGAAGAUGUUAACUUAGAGUAAAGAGGCACAGAAAAACUGCUGUUUUUAUUGAUUGAUACGUUCAAAAUAACAAAGAUUGCAACUACUUAAUAA
Molecule: long non-coding RNA, 2888 nt
Organism: Vicia villosa (hairy vetch)
Lineage: Eukaryota; Viridiplantae; Streptophyta; Magnoliopsida; Fabales; Fabaceae
Exons: 2
Source: RefSeq, a predicted model, not a curated record